AUCAACUUUCGAUGGUAGGAUAGAGGCCUACCAUGGUAGUAACGGGUAACGGGGUGUUAGGGCACGACACCGGAGAGGGAGCCUGAGAAACGGCUACCACAUCCAAGGAUGGCAGCAGGCGCGCAAAUUACCCAAUCCCAACACGGGGAGGUAGUGACAAUAAAUAACAAUACGGGGCCUUUCAGGUUUCGUAAUUGGAAUGAGUACAAUUUAAAUCUCUUAACGAGGAACAAUUGGAGGGCAAGUCUGGUACCAGCAGCCGCGGUAAUUCCAGCUCCAAUAGCGCAUAUUAAAGUUGUUGCAGUUAAAAAGCUCGUAGUUGAAUUUCGGGACCAGUAGGUUGGUCGUGCCUACGGUACGUACUGGCUUCACUGGUUCCUCCCUUCUGACAAACCAUGAUGCCAUUAAUUUGGUGUUGUGGGGAAUCAGGACUGUUACUGUGAAAAAAUUAGAGUGUUUAAAGCAGGCUUAAGCUUGAAUACAUUAGCAUGGAAUAAUGAAAUAGGACGUUUGAUCUUAUUUUGUUGGUUUCUAAGAUCGACGUAAUGAUUAAUAGGGAUAGUUGGGGGCAUUAGUAUUCAAUUGUCAGAGGUGAAAUUCUUGGAUUUAUUGAAGACUAACUACUGCGAAAGCAUUUGCCAAGGAUGUUUUCAUUAAUCAAGAACGAAAGUUAGGGGAUCGAAGACGAUCAGAUACCGUCGUAGUCUUAACCAUAAACUAUGCCGACUAGGGAUCGGAUGAUGUUAAUUUUUAAUGACUCAUUCGGCGCCUUACGGGAAACCAAAGUGUUUGGGUUC
RNAcentral lists this ribosomal RNA (797 nucleotides) under uncultured Glomus. RNAcentral's name for it is "SSU rRNA". It matches the Rfam family "Eukaryotic small subunit ribosomal RNA", at positions 314 to 1114 of the family's 1831-position model. The record is from RNAcentral. Lineage: Eukaryota; Fungi; Glomeromycota; Glomeromycetes; Glomerales; Glomeraceae.